Passer domesticus (house sparrow) is the source of this 1002-nucleotide long non-coding RNA. RefSeq lists it as uncharacterized. Lineage: Eukaryota; Metazoa; Chordata; Aves; Passeriformes; Passeridae. The record is from RefSeq and is a predicted model, not a curated record. The transcript has 3 exons.
UUCCUAAAAUGUGCCUCUGACUUCCCAGCAACAUAAUCUCAGACAUACUGUUUGAGAAAUCUUAGAAAGUUCCUUUUUAAAGCAUUAUUCCUACAUUCUUCACAAUGUGUUUCCAUUAUAUUUAUUAAUAUACAGGUUUUAUUUACCUGAUUCCACAUGUGUGUACUGUGUGUGAGACUAGCACAAUGUGGGGGCUCUGCCUUUGCCACAUGUGGCUGCAGCAAGUCUGCUGAGAGGUAGAACACUAGUGGCUGCAGAUGAAAAGAAAGGAUCCCAUAUAUGGUCAAAGACUCAAAAUCAUAAUCUUUCAAGCAUUCAGUGGCUGAAUACAAAAUUGGUACUUCAGGACAAUACUUUGUGGUACAUAAAAAGAUGGAGACAGACAAAAGGAAUGUUUGCCAGGACAAUGAGUUUCUCUGUUUGAGGCACUGAAAAAGAAGAGGGGAAUUACAAGCUUCUGUAACUAUUUUAAAUGCAAAACACUUGAGGUCAGUGUUUCCAGGGUCUGUAGGUUUUGGAUCUUGUUUUUGGUUUGGUUUUUUCUUUUAUAUGGUGACUCUCCUUCAUUUCUUUGGUUUUGGGAAGCAGUAAAGAUGGCACUAAAAAAGUCUUGGUCAUGAAAUCUGUGUUCUGGUUCCUUUUCUGCUACUGACCUUUCGCAUGACCUGAAGGAAACAAUUCUAAUACUUCUUCUUUUUUCUGUGCUCUAGAUAGCUGGUGGCCAGUCUACUUUCGCAGAUAAUAACUGACUUUACGGAGUUCUCCAAAGGUUUGCAUAUGUUCCUCUGUAAUGCAAUGAAGACCAGCAUUACAAAGACAAAGUCACACUUAGCCCUUUAUGAGGUGGUUGUCUAAGAGCCAACGGAGCCUGUGCCUUAGCAGGGCAAAAAUGUCAAUGACCUAAGUUCACAAGUUAUUUUCAAAAGAGAUUAUAACAUAUGCUGGGCCUGCUGAAUCCUUCCUUUAGGUUUACCACAAGAUAGCACCUCAGUGAAUAACUAC